UACCGUAUGAUGCAGAGAUGCCAAAGAUUUAUCGCCUUGGGAUAAGCCCGCGUCAGAUUAGGUAGUUGGUGGGGUAAUGGCCUACCAAGCCUGUGAUCUGUAGCUGGUCUGAGAGGACGAUCAGCCACAUUGGGACUGAGACACGGCCCAAACUCCUACGGGAGGCAGCAGUGGGGAAUCUUGCGCAAUGGACGAAAGUCUGACGCAGCCAUGCCGCGUGAAUGAUGAAGGUCUUAGGAUUGUAAAGUUCUUUAGCCUGUGACGAUGAUGACGGUAACAGGAGAAUAAGCCCCGGCUAACUUCGUGCCAGCAGCCGCGGUAAUACGAAGGGGGCUAGCGUUGUUCGGAAUUACUGGGCGUAAAGCGAGCGUAGGCGGUUAUGCAAGCCAGAGGUGAAAUGCCUGAGCUCAACUUAGGAAUUGCCUUUGGAACUGCAUGGCUUUGAGGACGAGAGAGGUGAGUGGAAUUCCCAGUGUAGAGGUGAAAUUCGUAGAUAUUGGGAAGAACACCGGUGGCGAAGGCGGCUCACUGGCUCGUUUCUGACGCUGUAGCGCGAAAGCGUGGGGAUCAAACAGGAUUAGAUACCCUGGUAGUCCACGCUGUAAACGAU
RNAcentral lists this ribosomal RNA (610 nucleotides) under uncultured Alphaproteobacteria bacterium. RNAcentral's name for it is "bacterial SSU rRNA". It matches the Rfam family "Bacterial small subunit ribosomal RNA", at positions 167 to 810 of the family's 1533-position model. The record is from RNAcentral. Lineage: Bacteria; Pseudomonadati; Pseudomonadota; Alphaproteobacteria.